GUGUCAGUAUUAGGUUAACAUACCAAAACAUGGGUGUUCGCACGUAUACAAGUCAUACUGGUCACCCUGACAUAGCUAUGUGAAGGGGAUGAGUGUGUCACAGGGAUGUGUCAGUAUUAGGUUAACAUACCAAAACAUGGGUGUUCCAUGUAUACAAGUUGUACUGGUCACCCUGACAAAGCUAUGUGAAGGGGAUGAGUGUGUCACAGGGAUGUGUCAGUAGGUUAACAUACCAAAACAUGGGUGUUCACAUGUAUACAAGUCAUACUGGUCACCCUGACAUAGCUAUGUGAAGGGGAUGAGUGUGUCACAGGGAUGUGUCAGUAGGUUAACAUACCAAAACAUGGGUGUUCACAUGUAUACAAGUCAUACUGGUCACCCUGACAUAGCUAUGUGAAGAAGAUGAGU
Long non-coding RNA from Mizuhopecten yessoensis (Yesso scallop), 408 nucleotides. RefSeq lists it as uncharacterized. The record is from RefSeq and is a predicted model, not a curated record. NCBI's taxonomy places the organism in Eukaryota, Metazoa, Mollusca, Bivalvia, Pectinida, Pectinidae. The transcript has 3 exons.